GGUGUAGGCGGUUUGGCAAGUCGAGUGUGAAAUCCCAGGGCCCAACCCUGGAACUGCACUCGAUACUGCUUGACUAGAGUCCCGGAGAGGGUGGCGGAAUUCCCGGUGUAGAGGUGAAAUUCGUAGAUAUCGGGAGGAACACCAGUGGCGAAGGCGGCCACCUGGACGGUGACUGACGCUCAGACCCGAAAGCGUGGGGAGCAAACAGGAUUAGAUACCCUGGUAGUCC
Molecule: ribosomal RNA, 229 nt
Filed under: uncultured bacterium
Lineage: Bacteria
Description: partial 16S ribosomal RNA
Rfam family: Bacterial small subunit ribosomal RNA
Source: RNAcentral